GAGGGUGUAGCUCAGUGGUAGAGCCCAGGCUUAGCAUGCACAAGGUCUUGGGUUCAAUCCCCAGUACCUCUG
Molecule: transfer RNA, 72 nt
Filed under: Camelus ferus (Wild Bactrian camel)
Lineage: Eukaryota; Metazoa; Chordata; Mammalia; Artiodactyla; Camelidae
Rfam family: tRNA
About the family: Transfer RNA (tRNA) molecules are approximately 80 nucleotides in length. Their secondary structure includes four short double-helical elements and three loops (D, anti-codon, and T loops).
Source: Rfam by way of RNAcentral